This 1047-nucleotide ribosomal RNA is filed under the name Psychrobacter sp. RNAcentral's name for it is "bacterial SSU rRNA". It matches the Rfam family "Bacterial small subunit ribosomal RNA", at positions 93 to 1135 of the family's 1533-position model. Lineage: Bacteria; Pseudomonadati; Pseudomonadota; Gammaproteobacteria; Moraxellales; Moraxellaceae. The record is from RNAcentral.
GAGCGGCGGACGGGUGAGUAACACUUAGGAAUCUACCUAGUAGUGGGGGAUAGCUCGGGGAAACUCGAAUUAAUACCGCAUACGUCCUACGGGAGAAAGGGGGCAACUUGUUGCUCUCGCUAUUAGAUGAGCCUAAGUCGGAUUAGCUAGUUGGUGGGGUAAAGGCCUACCAAGGCGACGAUCUGUAGCUGGUCUGAGAGGAUGAUCAGCCACACCGGGACUGAGACACGGCCCGGACUCCUACGGGAGGCAGCAGUGGGGAAUAUUGGACAAUGGGGGCAACCCUGAUCCAGCCAUGCCGCGUGUGUGAAGAAGGCCUUUUGGUUGUAAAGCACUUUAAGCAGUGAAGAAGACCUAACGGUUAAUACCCGUUAGCGAUGACAUUAGCUGCAGAAUAAGCACCGGCUAACUCUGUGCCAGCAGCCGCGGUAAUACAGAGGGUGCAAGCGUUAAUCGGAAUUACUGGGCGUAAAGCGAGCGUAGGUGGCUUGAUAAGUCAGAUGUGAAAUCCCCGGGCUUAACCUGGGAACUGCAUCUGAUACUGUUAGGCUAGAAUAGGUGAGAGGAAGGUAGAAUUCCAGGUGUAGCGGUGAAAUGCGUAGAGAUCUGGAGGAAUACCGAUGGCGAAGGCAGCCUUCUGGCAUCAUAUUGACACUGAGGUUCGAAAGCGUGGGUAGCAAACAGGAUUAGAUACCCUGGUAGUCCACGCCGUAAACGAUGUCUACUAGUCGUUGGGUCCCUUGAGGACUUAGUGACGCAGCUAACGCAAUAAGUAGACCGCCUGGGGAGUACGGCCGCAAGGUUAAAACUCAAAUGAAUUGACGGGGGCCCGCACAAGCGGUGGAGCAUGUGGUUUAAUUCGAUGCAACGCGAAGAACCUUACCUGGUCUUGACAUAUCUAGAAUCUUGCUAGAGAUGCGAGAGUGCCUUCGGGAAUUAGAAUACAGGUGCUGCAUGGCUGUCGUCAGCUCGUGUCGUGAGAUGUUGGGGUUAAGUCCCGCAACGAGCGCAACCCUUGUCCUUAGUUACCAGCGGGGUUAAGCCGGG